This 448-nucleotide ribosomal RNA is filed under the name uncultured bacterium. Its description in RNAcentral is "partial 16S ribosomal RNA". It matches the Rfam family "Bacterial small subunit ribosomal RNA", at positions 331 to 794 of the family's 1533-position model. The record is from RNAcentral.
CCAGACUCCUACGGGAGGCAGCAGUGGGGAAUAUUGCACAAUGGGGGAAACCCUGAUGCAGCAACGCCGCGUGAGUGAAGAAGUAUUUCGGUAUGUAAAGCUCUAUCAGCAGGGAAGAAGAAAUGACGGUACCUGAGUAAGAAGCACCGGCUAAAUACGUGCCAGCAGCCGCGGUAAUACGUAUGGUGCAAGCGUUAUCCGGAUUUACUGGGUGUAAGGGAGCGCAGGCGGCACGGCAAGCCUGAUGUGAAAGCCCGCGGCCCAACCGCGGGACUGCAUUGGGAACUACCGGGCUGGAGUGCCGGAGAGGUAGGCGGAAUUCCUGGUGUAGCGGUGAAAUGCGUAGAUAUCAGGAGGAACACCGGUGGCGAAGGCGGCCUGCUGGACUGCGACUGACGUUGAGGCCCGAAAGCGUGGGGAGCAAACAGGAUUAGAUACCCGCGUAAGA